UGAGGAAUAUUGGUCAAUGGACGCAAGUCUGAACCAGCCAAGUAGCGUGCAGGAUGACGGCCCUAUGGGUUGUAAACUGCUUUUAUGCGGGGAUAAAGUCACCCACGUGUGGGUGUUUGCAGGUAUCGCAUGAAUAAGGACCGGCUAAUUCCGUGCCAGCAGCCGCGGUAAUACGGAAGGUCCGGGCGUUAUCCGGAUUUAUUGGGUUUAAAGGGAGUGUAGGCGGCCUGUUAAGCGUGUUGUGAAAUGUAGAUGCUCAACAUCUGAACUGCAGCGCGAACUGGCUGGCUUGAGUACACGCAACGUGGGCGGAAUUCAUGGUGUAGCGGUGAAAUGCUUAGAUAUCAUGAGGAACUCCUAUUGCGAAGGCAGCUCACGGGAGUGUCACUGACGCUUAAGCUCGAAGGUGCGGGUAUCAAACAGG
This 424-nucleotide ribosomal RNA is filed under the name Verrucomicrobiota bacterium. RNAcentral describes it as "Verrucomicrobia bacterium partial 16S ribosomal RNA". It matches the Rfam family "Bacterial small subunit ribosomal RNA", at positions 355 to 776 of the family's 1533-position model. Lineage: Bacteria; Pseudomonadati; Verrucomicrobiota. The record is from RNAcentral.